Molecule: long non-coding RNA, 560 nt
Filed under: Trifolium pratense (red clover)
Lineage: Eukaryota; Viridiplantae; Streptophyta; Magnoliopsida; Fabales; Fabaceae
Description: long non-coding RNA (TPRA_LNC002656)
Source: RNAcentral
UUACUACCAUAUUUACUCCCACUUAUUCAACUUACCACUUUUAUUUCAAAUUACCUUUUAUUUCUAUUAUAUUAUGAAUAUGAAUAUCUUUUUAUUUAUUACCAUUAUUACCAUUAUUAUUACUAUUAUUACCAUUUUUAUCAUUAUUACUAUUAUUAUCACUACUAUUAUUAAUUAUUAUUAUAUCAUUUUUUAACAAAAAAAUAUAUAUAAAAAAUAUAUGCUGCAAAGCAGCGUCACCUCUAACUUCUUUCCCAUUAUUUUCAGUUUUCUAUUUUCAAUUUUUCACCAGGCUUUCACCAAAUUCACACUAUCAAAAGUUUCAAUCACUUCUUCCCACUUCCAUCCUUGCAAUACUAUUUCUUCUGCCAAAACACACUUUAAUCCAAACUCAGUUUUAUCAAUUGGUCUCAAUAAUUUAUAAAUUUAGUUUAUAAAUUGAGGAAAAAAAAAAUCAGAAGAGAGGGGAGUUAGUUAGAGGCAAAAGAGAGGCAGAAACAAAGAAUACAACCAGAUUUUUAUAAUCCAGCAACAAAUGCUUCAAUUAUUUUUUUAUUUUU